RNAcentral lists this ribosomal RNA (292 nucleotides) under uncultured eukaryote. RNAcentral's name for it is "partial 18S ribosomal RNA". It matches the Rfam family "Eukaryotic small subunit ribosomal RNA", at positions 6 to 299 of the family's 1831-position model. The record is from RNAcentral.
GGUUGAUCCUGCCAGUAGUCAUAUGCUUGUCUCAAAGAUUAAGCCAUGCAUGUCUAAGUAUAAGCUUUUAUACGGCGAAACUGCGAAUGGCUCAUUAAAACAGUUAUAGUUUAUUUGAUGGUUACUAACUACAUGGAUAACCGUGGUAAUUCUAGAGCUAAUACAUGCGUAAAAGCCCAACUUUACGGAAGGGCUGUAUUUAUUAGAUAAAGAACCAAUCCAUGCUUGCAUGGUUUCCUGGUGAUUCAUAAUAACUGAUCGAAUCGCAUGGCUUUGCCGGCGAUGUAUCAUU